RNAcentral lists this ribosomal RNA (253 nucleotides) under uncultured bacterium. Its description in RNAcentral is "partial 16S ribosomal RNA". It matches the Rfam family "Bacterial small subunit ribosomal RNA", at positions 524 to 776 of the family's 1533-position model. The record is from RNAcentral.
UACGGAGGGUGCGAGCGUUGUCCGGAAUUAUUGGGCGUAAAGAGCUCGUAGGCGGUUUGUCGCGUCGGUUGUGAAAACCCGGGGCUCAACCCCGGGCCUGCAGUCGAUACGGGCAGACUAGAGUGCGGUAGGGGAGACUGGAAUUCCUGGUGUAGCGGUGAAAUGCGCAGAUAUCAGGAGGAACACCGGUGGCGAAGGCGGUUCUCUGGGCAUGUCCUGACGCUGAGGAGCGAAAGUGUGGGGAGCGAACAGG